This 254-nucleotide ribosomal RNA is filed under the name uncultured bacterium. Its description in RNAcentral is "partial 16S ribosomal RNA". It matches the Rfam family "Bacterial small subunit ribosomal RNA", at positions 524 to 777 of the family's 1533-position model. The record is from RNAcentral.
UACAGAGGGGGCAAGCGUUGUUCGGAAUUACUGGGCGUAAAGGGUGCGCAGGCGGCCGUGUGUGUGAGGCGUGAAAGCCCGGGGCUUAACCCCGGAAUUGCACCUCAAACUACACGGCUAGAGCAUUGGAGAGGGUAGCAGAAUUCACGGUGUAGCAGUGAAAUGCGUAGAUAUCGUGAGGAAUACCAGAGGCGAAGGCGGCUACCUGGACAAUUGCUGACGCUCAGGCACGAAAGCGUGGGGAGCAAAAAGGG